CAUUAUUGAGAAUUUUUUCGUAGCGCUGAGAACUGUUGCUGACCUGUUAAAGGGUAUGUGCACGUUUAAAGUGUUGCGUUUUAUUCUUUUUUCCCUGUGCACAUUUGUAGACUUGGUUAGAAGGGGGGGGUUGCUUUCGAGCACUCCUUUGUCUAUCAGGUCUAUGUCUAUAAACUUUUGUAUGUAUAGAAUGUGUUGUUUAUAAGACGCAAGUCUAAUAAAUGUUAUACAACUUUCAACAACGGAUCUCUUGGCUCUCGCAUCGAUGAAGAACGCAGCGAAAUGCGAUAACUAAUGUGAAUUGCAGAAUUCAGUGAAUCAUCGAGUCUUUGAACGCACCUUGCGCCCUUUGGUAUUCCGAAGGGCAUGCCUGUUUGAGUGUCAUUAAAUUCUCAAGCUUUUUGCUUGGAUGUGGGGGUUGCUGGUCUCUAACGAGAUCAGCUCCUCUAAAAUGUAUUAGCAGAAACCGAAAGACUUUGGGUGCUAGGCUGUGAUAAUAUCUAUAGCUUGGUAGUCUUGUUAGGAUUUCAGCUUCUAACGGUUCAUUUGAUUGAACGAUUUAUUGACUAUUUGACCUCAAAUCAGGUAGGACUACCCGCUGAACUU
Molecule: ribosomal RNA, 606 nt
Filed under: Armillaria puiggarii
Lineage: Eukaryota; Fungi; Basidiomycota; Agaricomycetes; Agaricales; Physalacriaceae
Description: eukaryotic LSU rRNA
Rfam family: 5.8S ribosomal RNA (bases 231-384)
Source: RNAcentral